AAGUCGUAACAAGGUAACCGUAGGUGAACCUGCGGUUGGAUCAUUAAUGAAAUCUUACUAAAGAAAAUUGAGUAGUCAAAUACUUAUUUUCUUUAAAAAGGAAAAAGAAAAAGAGAGAGGGAGUCAAAGCAAUUUUGAUAUACCUCUUUUCUUUUUCUUCUUUUCUGAACCCAUUUGUGAAUUGUUAUUUUGUCCAUUGGUCAAACAAUUGAAUAUGGUCUCUAUUAUAGAGACUUAUUUUGUUUGGCCAGUCAAGUAGAAAACCUUAGUCACAAAACUUAGUUUAUCAUUUCAAAAAAAAAAUGAAACAACUUUUGACAACGGAUCUCUUGGCUCUC
RNAcentral lists this unclassified non-coding RNA (338 nucleotides) under fungal sp. Its description in RNAcentral is "partial internal transcribed spacer region". The stretch from base 1 to 46 matches the Rfam family "Eukaryotic small subunit ribosomal RNA", at positions 1786 to 1831 of the family's 1831-position model. Lineage: Eukaryota; Fungi. The record is from RNAcentral.